UACGUAGGGACCGAGCGUUGUCCGGAUUCAUUGGGCGUAAAGAGCUCGUAGGCGGCCACUCAAGUCGAAUGUGAAACCUCGAGGCUUAACCUCGAGCCUGCAUUCGAUACUGGGCGGCUAGAGUCUGGUAGGGGGAUCUGGAAUUCCUGGUGUAGCGGUGGAAUGCGCAGAUAUCAGGAGGAACACCGGUGGCGAAGGCGGGAUCCUGGGCCAGUACUGACGCUGGGGAGCGAAAGCGUGGGGAGCAAACAGG
This 253-nucleotide ribosomal RNA is filed under the name uncultured bacterium. RNAcentral describes it as "partial 16S ribosomal RNA". It matches the Rfam family "Bacterial small subunit ribosomal RNA", at positions 524 to 776 of the family's 1533-position model. The record is from RNAcentral.